Molecule: ribosomal RNA, 274 nt
Filed under: uncultured bacterium
Lineage: Bacteria
Description: partial 16S ribosomal RNA
Rfam family: Bacterial small subunit ribosomal RNA
Source: RNAcentral
AUACGGAGGGUGCAAGCGUUACUCGGAAUCACUGGGCGUAAAGCGCGCGCAGGCGGCUAUUUAAGUUGGAUGUGAAAGCCUACGGCUCAACCGUAGAACUGCAUCCAAAACUAUUUAGCUAGAGUGUGGGAGAGGAAGAUGGAAUUAGUUGUGUAGGGGUAAAAUCCGUGGAGAUAACUAGGAAUACCAAAAGCGAAGGCAAUCUUCUGGAACACUACUGACGCUGAGGCGCGAAAGCGUGGGGAGCAAACAGGAUUAGAUACCCUAGUAGUCC